This 465-nucleotide ribosomal RNA is filed under the name Vreelandella stevensii. Its description in RNAcentral is "partial 16S ribosomal RNA". It matches the Rfam family "Bacterial small subunit ribosomal RNA", at positions 338 to 795 of the family's 1533-position model. Lineage: Bacteria; Pseudomonadati; Pseudomonadota; Gammaproteobacteria; Oceanospirillales; Halomonadaceae. The record is from RNAcentral.
CCUACGGGUGGCAGCAGUGGUGAAUAUUGGACAAUGGGGGCAACCCUGAUCCAGCCAUGCCGCGUGUGUGAAGAAGGCCCUCGGGUUGUAAAGCACUUUCAGUGAGGAAGAACGCCUGGUGGUUAAUACCCAUCAGGAAAGACAUCACUCACAGAAGAAGCACCGGCUAACUCCGUGCCAGCAGCCGCGGUAAUACGGAGGGUGCGAGCGUUAAUCGGAAUUACUGGGCGUAAAGCGCGCGUAGGUGGCUUGAUAAGCCGGUUGUGAAAGCCCCGGGCUCAACCUGGGAACGGCAUCCGGAACUGUCAAGCUAGAGUGCAGGAGAGGAAGGUAGAAUUCCCGGUGUAGCGGUGAAAUGCGUAGAGAUCGGGAGGAAUACCAGUGGCGAAGGCGGCCUUCUGGACUGACACUGACACUGAGGUGCGAAAGCGUGGGUAGCAAACAGGAUUAGAUACCCGGGUAGUC